UUAAAUGCAUAAUAAAUGUUAGUAGAACAAGCAACCCUCAUAACAGGGUAUUAGGCCAAAAUAAUACAUAUGUGCAACUAUCAACAGUGUUUGUAGAUAUAUUUUACCAGUGGUUUACAUAUUUUUAGAGAUUCAUCCAAAACAUAUGUUUUAAUCGAGGCUAUGCUAGAAGCUGUUGUUCUAUCCUUGUGAUUGAUUAAAGCAGCUCAUAGCAACUGUCAGACCAAAAUAGAGCAGCAAUACUCAAUAAUUCUUACUUUUGGUAAAGAUAAUUCUCAAUAUUUCAUACAGUUGUAUCCUUCAUAUUAAAUAUAAUUUACAAGUAACCAUAUGACCAACAGCAAUAUGCAUCAAACAUAUACCGGUAACCCUAAUGACAACAAAUAACAUAAUACAUCAUUAAUAGUUUUAUUAGAAAUGAACGUUUUCAUACAAAAUGAAAUAAAGCAUUUUUUUUUCUUCGUAUUUUAAAUAUGAUAAAAAUAAUAAAAUUAAAAGCAUGAUAGUAAUAUUAUUUAGUAAAACACAGCACUUCUUUGAAAGUAAUUGUAAGUAUAUACUAUACAGUAAUUUUUAGUGUGUAUUUCUUUCUCUCCUCCAUACAAUCUGAUUCACCAUUUAUUUUUCUGUAAUUUAAAUACAUACAUAUAUUUUGGUAUAUUUACAAGAUAAAUUUUCUUUUGUUAAUAAAAUCUGAUCACAAGACAUCUGAUGGUACAAUUAUUUUUAAAAUUAACAAGUUGAAAUGUGAGCUAAUGAUAACCCAGCUAUUAGUAUUUUAAAAGUAAACAUAAAUUUGAUGUAAGAUGGGUUUUAAAAAGCAUCACUAAGUUACUGUUAGGCAUGCUCACAAGUAUGGUUCCAAAUUUCAAAAAGCCCUGAUUUGUAAUUCCUGAGAAAAACGUGAUGAAAAUUUCAUACAAGGCCAAUAUCUAAAAUAAUAUAUAAGUAUUUGGUGAACAGGAAGUUAAUGAGCAAUGAAUCUUAUAAUGCAUCAAACUGAAAAGCAUUGCUCACAGAAGCUGGACUAAAUUUUAGAAUUUGUAGUUUCUGAGAAAAAUAUGAAAUAAUUUUCGGGAACUGAGUUGACUGACAGAAACAUCAUUAGCCAUAAAGCAGUAUACAAAAGGGUAUAAUAAAGGACAAAUAAAAUAGGUUUUACUGUGCUUAUCCAGUGACCUUUGGGGUAUCACAAUAGCAAUGGCCAAAACAGUUUAACAAAUUGCAGUUAGAUUUCUUCUCCAACUAACUGAUCAAACUGGUAAAUAUUUUAGCAGAUUGCUCAAGUGAAUGUUGUUAGUAUGAAGUGAGUGCUGUAAAAUCAAAAGUAAUACUUACCAUCCAGAUCCAGUUAGUUGAUAUCUUUGUCAUUUGUUUCAAACACAAA
RNAcentral lists this long non-coding RNA (1387 nucleotides) under Mytilus galloprovincialis (Mediterranean mussel). Lineage: Eukaryota; Metazoa; Mollusca; Bivalvia; Mytilida; Mytilidae. The record is from RNAcentral.